UCAGAACUCAAACUAGCGUGGCCC
Molecule: non-coding RNA, 24 nt
Filed under: Mus musculus (house mouse)
Lineage: Eukaryota; Metazoa; Chordata; Mammalia; Rodentia; Muridae
Source: RNAcentral